This 6744-nucleotide ribosomal RNA is filed under the name Triticum aestivum (bread wheat). RNAcentral's name for it is "partial small subunit ribosomal RNA". Lineage: Eukaryota; Viridiplantae; Streptophyta; Magnoliopsida; Poales; Poaceae. The record is from RNAcentral.
AUGGCGGGGUCCGACCAGAUCAGCGAAUUCUGCAGGGCGCUUGGGGGCGACACGCCGAUCCGCAGCGUGCUGGUCGCCAACAAUGGGAUGGCGGCCGUCAAGUUCAUGCGCAGCAUCCGCGCCUGGGCCUCCGAGACCUUUGGCACCGAGAAGGCCAUCCUUCUGGUGGCCAUGGCGACCCCAGAGGACCUCCGGGCCAAUGCGGAGCAUGUAAGGAUCGCUGACCAGUUCUUGGAGGUCCCUGGUGGAACCAAUAACAACAACUAUGCAAAUGUGCAGCUCAUUGUCGAGAUAGCAGAGAGGACCCGGGUUUCUGCAGUUUGGCCAGGCUGGGGUCAUGCCUCUGAGGACCCAGAGCUUCCAGAUGCGCUCAAGGAAAAGGGGAUCAUUUUUCUUGGGCCACCGUCGGCCGCCAUGGCGGCACUAGGUGAUAAGAUCGGUUCCUCUCUUAUUGCACAAGCAGCAGGAGUUCCAACUCUUCCAUGGAGUGGGUCACAUGUGAAAGUUCCGCAAGAAACCAGCUGCCACUCUAUACCUGAGGAGAUCUAUAAGAAGGCUUGUGUGUCAACCACAGAGGAAGCAGUCGCAAGUUGUCAAGUGGUGGGGUAUCCUGCAAUGAUCAAGGCAUCGUGGGGCGGUGGUGGUAAAGGAAUAAGGAAGGUGCACAAUGACGAUGAGGUGAGAGCCUUGUUUAAGCAGGUGCAAGGAGAAGUCCCUGGAUCGCCUAUAUUUGUUAUGAAGGUGGCCUCUCAGAGCCGGCAUCUAGAGGUCCAGUUGCUCUGUGACAAGCACGGCAACGUAGCAGCGCUGCACAGUCGGGACUGUAGUGUUCAGAGAAGGCACCAAAAGAUUAUCGAAGAGGGACCAAUCACUGUUGCUCCUCCAGAGAAGGUUAGAGAGCUUGAGCAGGCAGCAAGGCGGCUCGCUAAAUGUGUGCAAUAUCAGGGUGCUGCCACGGUGGAAUAUCUGUACAGCAUGGAAACGGGUGAAUACUAUUUCCUGGAGCUUAAUCCAAGAUUGCAGGUAGAACACCCUGUGACCGAAUGGAUUGCUGGAGUGAACCUACCUGCAUCUCAAGUUGCGGUAGGAAUGGGCAUACCCCUCUACAACAUUCCAGAGAUCAGACGCUUUUAUGGACUGGAACAUGGAGGUGGCUAUCACAGCUGGAAGGAAAUAUCAGCUGUUGCGGCUAAAUUUGACUUGGACAAAGCACAGUCUGUAAGGCCAACGGGUCACUGUGUAGCAGUUCGAGUUACUAGCGAGGAUCCAGAUGACGGGUUUAAGCCUACUGGUGGAAGAGUGGAGGAGCUAAACUUUAAAAGUAAACCCAAUGCUUGGGCCUAUUUCUCAGUUAAGUCUGGCGGAGCAAUUCAUGAGUUUUCUGAUUCUCAGUUUGGUCAUGUUUUUGCUUUUGGGGAAUCCAGGUCGUUGGCAAUAGCCAAUAUGGUACUUGGGUUAAAAGAGAUCCAGAUUCGUGGAGAGAUACGCACCAAUGUUGAUUACACGGUCGAUCUCUUGAAUGCCGCAGAAUACCGAGAAAAUAAGAUCCACACUGGUUGGCUAGACAGCAGAAUAGCUAUGCGUGUCAGAGCAGAGAGGCCACCAUGGUACCUUUCAGUUGUUGCUGGAGCUCUAUAUGAAGCAUCAAGCAGGAGCUCAAGUGUUGUAACCGAUUAUGUCGGUUAUCUCAGUAAAGGUCAAAUACCACCAAGGCACAUCUCUCUUGUCAAUUUGACUGUAACACUAAAUAUAGAGGGGAUCAAAUAUACAGUUAAGACAGUAAGAGGUGGACCUGGUAGCUACAAAUUAAGAAUCAAUGAAUCAGAGAUUGAAGCAGAGAUGCACUCGUUGCGUGAUGGUGGGCUCUUAAUGCAGUUGGAUGGAAACAGUCAUGUAAUUUACGCAGAGACAGAGGGUGCUGGUACACGCCUUCUAAUCAAUGGUAGAACCUGCUUAUUACAGAAAGAGCAUGAUCCUUCCAAGCUGUUGGCUGAUACACCGUGCAAACUUCUUCGGUUUUUGGUCGCCGAUGGUUCUCAUGUGGUUUCUGAUACACCAUAUGCUGAGGUGGAGGUCAUGAAGAUGUGCAUGCCACUGUUACUACCGGCCUCUGGUGUCAUUCACUUUGUCAUGCCUGAGGGUCAGGCCAUGCAGGCGAGUGACCUGAUAGCAAGGUUGGAUCUUGAUGACCCAUCUUCUGUGAGGAAAGCUGAACCAUUUCAUGGCACCUUCCCAAAGCUUGGACCUUCUGCUGCUAUUUCUGGCAAAGUUCACCAAAAGUUUGCUGCAAGUGUGAAUUCUGCGCACAUGAUCCUUGCAGGAUAUGAACAUAAUAUCAGUCAUGUUGUACAAUAUUUGCUAAACUGCCUAGACAGCCCUGAGCUCCCUUUUCUUCGGUGGCAAGAACUCAUGUCCGUUUUGGCAACACGACUCCCAAAAGAUCUUAGGAAUGAGUUGGAUGGUGUGUACAAGGAGUAUGAGUUGAAUGCUGACUUCCGGAAGGGCCAGGAUUUCCCUGCCAAGUUGUUAAGGGAAGUCAUUGAGGCAAAUCUUGCACACUGUUCUGAGAAAGAUAGGAUUACCAGUGAGAGGCUUAUAGAGCCACUUAUGAGCCUGGUCAAGUCAUAUGAGGGUGGAAGAGAAAGCCAUGCUUGCGUUGUUGUCAAGUCUCUCUUUGAGGAGUAUUUAUCUGUUGAAGAACUGUUCAGUGAUGACAUUCAGUCUGAUGUGAUAGAACGUCUACGACUUCAACAUGCAAAAGACCUUGAGAAGGUUGUCUAUAUUGUGUUCUCCCAUCAGGGUGUGAAAAAUAAAAAUGAGUUGAUACUACAGCUUAUGGACGGAUUGGUCUACGCAAAUCCAUCUGCUUACAGGGACCAGUUGAUUCGCUUUUCUGCUCUGAACCAUACAGCAUACUCUGGGCUGGCACUUAAAGCAAGCCAACUUCUUGAGCAAACUAAAUUGAGUGAACUCCGCACAAGCAUAGCAAGAAGCCUUUCAGAGCUGGAGAUGUUUACUGAGGAAGGAGAGCAGGUUUCUACACCUAGGAGGAAGAUGGCCAUCAAUGAAAGGAUGGAAGAUUUAGUGUGUGCCCCACAUGCAGUUGAAGACGCCCUUGUGGCUUUGUUUGAUCACAGUGAUCCUACUCUUCAGCGGAGAGUAGUCGAGACAUACAUACGAAGAUUGUAUCAGCAUUACCUUGUAAGGGGUAGUGUCCGGAUACAAUGGCACAGGUCUGGCCUAAUUGCAUUAUGGGAAUUCUCUGAAGAGCAUAUUGGGCAGUCUGCAGCACUUCUAAAGCAACAAGUGCAGGAUCCCAGGGGCAGGCGAUGGGGUGUAAUGGUUGUAAUCAAGUCUCUUCAGUGUCUGUCAACUGCGAUUGAAGCUGCAUUAAAGGAGACUUCACAUUACAGAGCAGGUGCUGGAAGUGUCUCAAAUGGUAAUCCUAUAAAUUCUAACCGUGGCAAUAUUCUGCACAUUGCUUUGGUUGGUAUCAGCAAUCAGAUGGGCACUCUUCAAGACAGUGGUGAUGAGGAUCAAGCUCAAGAAAGGAUUAACAAACUUUCCAAGAUUCUGAAGGAUACGACUAUAACAUCACAUCUCAAUGGUGCUGGUGUUAGGGUUGUCAGCUGCAUUAUCCAAAGAGAUGAAGGGCGUCCGCCAAUGCGCCACUCCUUCCAAUGGUCAUUUGACAAGCUAUAUUAUGAGGAGGACCCGAUGCUCCGUCAUGUGGAACCUCCUUUGUCCACAUUUCUUGAAUUGGACAAAGUGCAUCUAGAAGGUUACAGUGACGCAAAAUACACCCCAUCUCGUGAUCGCCAGUGGCACAUCUACACACUGGUAAAGAACAAUAAAGAUCCGAGAUCAAAUGACCAAAGGAUGUUUCUUCGUACCAUAGUCAGACAGCCAAGUAUGACCAAUGGUUUUUCGUUUGGACAUAUUGACAAUGAGGUAUGCCGUGCUCAAGCCUCAUCGUCAUUCAUAUCUAACAGCAUACUCAGAUCAUUGAUGGCAGCGCUAGAGGAAAUAGAGUUACAUGCUCACAAUGAGGCUGUGAGGUCAGCACACUCCCAUAUGUAUAUGUGCAUACUGAGAGAGCAGCGGUUGUUUGAUCUAAUUCCAGUUUCAACGAGGAUGGAUGAAGUUGGCCAAGAUGAGGAGACAGCAUGCACACUUUUGAAGCAUAUGGCUAUGAGUAUACAUGAACAUGUCGGUGUUAGGAUGCAUCGACUUUCCGUGUGCCAGUGGGAAGUGAAGCUAUGGUUAGAUUGUGAUGGGCAAGCUAGUGGUGCUUGGAGAGUUGUUGUUACCAUUGUCACUGGGCAUUCCUGCACUGUUGAUAUUUACCGAGAAGUGGAGGACUCCAAUACACAUGAGCUUUUCUACCGCUCCGCCACACCCGCAGCUGGUCCUUUGCAUGGCAUUCCAUUGCAUGAGCCAUACAAACCUUUGGAUGCCCUUGACCAGAAACGUAACACUGCUAGGAAAAAUGAAACUACAUACUGCUAUGAUUUCCCAUUGGUAUUUGAAAAAGCAUUGAAGGAGUCCUGGAAAUCUGGUAUUUCACAUGUUGCAGAAGCUAACGGGCACAAUCAGCGGUAUGCUCAAGUGACAGAGCUCAUGUUUGCUGAUUCAACUGGAUCAUGGGGUACUCCUUUGGUUCCAGUUGAGCGUCCUCCAGGUAUGAAUGAUAUUGGAACUGUUGCUUGGAACAUGAAGCUGUCCACACCAGAAUUUCCAGACGGCCGGGAGAUUAUAGUUGUUGCAAAUGACGUGACAUUUAAAGCUGGUUCUUUUGGUCCUAGAGAAGAUGCAUUCUUCGAUGCUGUUACCAAUCUUGCUUGUGAGAGGAAAAUUCCUCUAAUCUACUUGGCAGCAACUUCUGGUGCUAGGCUCGGUGUAGCAGAGGAAAUAAAGGCAUGCUUCCAUGUGGGAUGGUCUGAUGAUGAGAGUCCUGAACGUGGUUUUCAGUAUAUUUACCUCAUGGAACAAGAUUAUUCACGCCUAAGAUCUUCGGUUAUAGCCCAUGAGCUAAAGCUGGAAAGUGGAGAAACCAGAUGGGUUGUUGAUACCAUUGUUGGGAAAGAGGAUGGACUCGGUUGUGAGAAUCUACAUGGAAGUGGUGCCAUUGCCAGUGCCUACUCUAAUGCAUACAGAGAGACGUUUACUCUGACAUUUGUGACUGGGAAAGCUGUUGGCAUUGGGGCUUAUCUUGCUCGGAUAGGACUGCGGUGUAUACAGCGUCUUGAUCAACCAAUUAUUUUAACUGGGUUUGCUCCGCUAAACAAGCUUCUGGGGCGGGAGGUUUAUACCUCCCAAUUGCAACUGGGUGGCCCCAAAAUCAUGGCUGCAAAUGGAGUUGCCCAUCUCACAGUGUCAGAUGAUCUUGAAGGUGUUUCUGCUAUCUUGAAAUGGCUCAGCUACGUACCUGCGUAUGUCGGCGGUCCUCUUCCUAUUCUGACACCUCUUGAUCCACCGGAGAGACCUGUAACAUACUUACCAGAGAAUUCAUGUGAUGCCCGUGCGGCCAUCUGUGGCAUUCAGGACACUCAAGGAGGCAAGUGGUUGGGUGGUAUGUUUGACAGAGAAAGCUUUGUGGAAACAUUAGGGGGAUGGGCGAAAACUGUUAUCACCGGAAGGGCAAAGCUGGGUGGGGUUCCAGUCGGUGUCAUAGCUGUGGAAACCGAGACAAUGAUGCAAGUGACCCCCGCUGAUCCUGGUCAGCUUGAUUCUGCAGAGCGUGUAGUCCCUCAAGCAGGACAGGUGUGGUUCCCAGAUUCGGCCGCGAAAACAGCCCAGGCACUGCUGGAUUUCAACCAUGAAGAGCUCCCAUUGUUCAUACUUGCUAACUGGAGAGGCUUUUCUGGUGGCCAAAGGGAUCUGUUUGAAGGAAUCCUUCAGGCCGGUUCCAUGAUUGUCGAGAAUCUGAGGACAUAUAAGCAGCCUGCCUUUGUGUAUAUACCAAAGGCUGGAGAGCUGCGUGGAGGCGCAUGGGUCGUGGUGGACAGCAAGGUCAAUCCUGAGCACAUUGAGAUGUAUGCCGAGAGGAGUGCAAAAGGUAAUGUCCUUGAGCCAAAGGCGCUAAUUGAGAUCAAAUUUAAGCCAAAUGAAGUCGAAGAGAGCAUGUUAAGGCUUGACCCUCAGUUGGUCAGACUCAAUGCUAGCCUCCUCAAAGAAAUCAAGAUAGGCACAUCGGAAACGGAGGCCAUCAGGAUCAGGAGUAUGAUGACCGCUCGGAUGAAGCAGCUGAUGCCCAUAUACACUCAGGUUGCUACCCGGUUUGCUGAACUGCACGACACCACUUCCAGAAUGGUCGCCAAAGGUGUGAUCAGAAAGGUGGUGGACUGGGAGGAGUCCCGGGCCUUCUUCUACAGGAGGUUGCGAAGGAGGGUUGCUGAGGAUUCACUUGCCAAACAAGUUAGAGAAGCCGCUGGUGAGCAGAUGAUGCCUACUUAUGGAUCGGCGCUGGAGUGUAUCAAGGAAUGGUAUAUGGCUUCUCAAGGACAGGGAGAUGGCGAGAAGUGGGACGAUGACGAGGCUUUCUUUGCCUGGAAAGACGAUUGUAGCAACUAUGACAAGCAUCUCGAGGAGAUGAAAGCUGAACGAGUAUCCAGGCUGUUGUCGCAACUUGCUGAAAGCUCAGAUGUGAAGGCUUUGCCCAACGGUCUCUCGCUCCUCCUUGGCAAAAUGAAUCCUUCAAAGAGGGAGCAGGUCAUCAAUGGCCUCAGGCAGCUUCUUGGUUGA